GAUGAAGAACGUAGCGAAAUGCGAUAAGUAAUGUGAAUUGCAGAAUUCAGUGAAUCAUCGAAUCUUUGAACGCACAUUGCGCCCGCCAGUAUUCUGGCGGGCAUGCCUAUUCGAGCGUCAUUUCAACCAUCAAGCCCCAGGCUUGUGUUGGGGACCUGCGGCUGCCGCAGGCCCUGAAAACCAGUGGCGGGCUCGCUGUCACACCGGGCGUAGUAGAUUUUAUCUCGCUCAGGGCGUGCUGCGGGUUCCGGCCGUUAAAAAGCCUUUUUUACCCAAGGUUGACCUCGGAUCAGGUAGGAAGACCCGCUGAACUUAAGCAUAUCAAUAAGCGGAGGA
RNAcentral lists this unclassified non-coding RNA (336 nucleotides) under soil metagenome. Its description in RNAcentral is "partial contains 5.8S ribosomal RNA, internal transcribed spacer 2, and large subunit ribosomal RNA". The stretch from base 1 to 120 matches the Rfam family "5.8S ribosomal RNA", at positions 35 to 154 of the family's 154-position model. The record is from RNAcentral.